GCUCAGUAACACGUCGAUAAUCUGCCCUUAGGUCUUUGAUACCCUCGGGAAACUGAGGUUAAACAAAGAUAGGAAAUCGAGGCUGGAACGCACUUUUUCUUAAAUCUUCGGAGCCUAAGGAUGAGUCGGCGGCUGAUUAGGCAGUUGGUGAGGUAAUGGCUCACCAAACCUAUGAUCAGUAGGGGUCUUGAGAGAGAUAGCCCCGAGAAGGGCACUGAGAUAAGGGCCCUAGUCCUACGGGAUGCAGCAGGCGGGAAAACUUUACAAUGCACGAAAGUGCGAUAAGGGUAUCCUGAGUGCUUACACUUUUAGUGUAAGCUUUUGCCAAGAGCAAAUAUCUUGGCGAAUAAGUGAUGGGCAAGACCGGUGCCAGCCGCCGCGGUAACCCCGGCGUCACGAGUGGGAGCCACAUUUAUUGGGUCUAAAGCGUCCGUAGCCGGCCUCGCAGAUUCUUUGUGAAAUUGUUACAGUCAACUUAACAGCGCGCAAAGGACACCUGCAAGGCUCGGGACUGGGAGGAGUCAGAGGUAUUCCUGGGGAAGCGGUAAAAUGUUAUAAUCCCAGGAGGACCACCGAUGGCGAAGGCAUCUGACUAGAACAGGUCCGACGGUGAGGGACGAGAGCUAGGGGAUCAAAACGGAUUAGAUACCCGAGUAGUCCUAGCUGUAAACUCUGCAGGUUAGGCGUUGCGCAAUCUAUAUGAUUGUGC
Molecule: ribosomal RNA, 709 nt
Filed under: uncultured archaeon
Lineage: Archaea
Description: bacterial SSU rRNA
Rfam family: Archaeal small subunit ribosomal RNA
Source: RNAcentral